GCAAAAAACUAGCUCAACAAAUAACAUUUAAAUCAACAAGCUUAUCAUCCACCUAAACAAAACUAAAACAUUCUCUAAUCCUAGUAUGGGCGACAGAAAAGAUAACUGAAGCAAUAAAAACAGUACCGCAAGGGAAAAUUGAAAAAAAUGAAACAUAUUUAAGCAAAAAAAAGCAAAGAUUAACCCUUGUACCUUUUGCACCAUGAUUUAGUCAGCAACAUCUGGGCAAAGAGAACUAAAGUCUAAAGCCCCGAAACUAGGUGAGCUACUUAAAGGCGGCCAAUAUAACUAAAGCUAUCAUCAUCUCUGUGGCAAAAGAGUGAUAAGACCAUUAAGUAGAGGUGAAAAGCCUAACGAACCUAGUGAUAGCUGGUUGCCCAAUAAACGGGUAUAAGCCCAACCCUAAAUAUUCCAAAAACAACUAAAAGUUACAAGAAAAAUUUAGGAGCCAUUCAAUUAGGGUACAGCCAAAUUGAAACAGGACACAACCUAAAAUGAAGGACAAACCACAACUCCAACCAACCGUAGGCCUUAAAGCAGCCACCACUAAAGACCGCGUCAAAGCCCACCACAAAAAAUAUAAACAACAAUUUACUCCUCAAACAACACUGGGCUACUCUACCCGAGUAGAAGAACUAAUGCUAAAAUGAGUAACAAGAAGAUAAACUUCUCUAUUACGCCAGCUUAAAUCAGAACAGACAAACUACUGAUUAUUAACAACUAAUAUAAGAACAAUAACACUAAACAGAACAUAUAACAUAAACUGUUAACCCAACACAGGAGCGUAAAAUAAGAAAGAUUAAAACCUGUAAAAGGAACUAGGCAAACAAAGGACCCGACUGUUUACCAAAAACAUAGCCCCUAGCAAUAAACAGUAUUAGGGGUGAUGCCUGCCCAGUGACACUGUUUAACGGCCGCGGUAUCCUAACCGUGCAAAGGUAGCGUAAUCACUUGUCUUUUAAAUAAAGACUAGUAUGAAAGGCUAAACGAGGUCCUACCUGUCUCUUACGGACAAUCAGUGAAAUUGAUCUCCUCGUGCAAAAGCGAGAAUACAAAUAUAAGACGAGAAGACCCUGUGGAACUUCAAAAAAAUCAUCAAUUAGCACUACACCUCCCCCACUGGGCCUAUAAAUUUCAACUAAUACCUGAUACAUAUUUUUGGUUGGGGCGACCUCGGAGCAAAACAAAACCCCCGAAAAAAGAACAUAAUUCUCUACCUAGAUAAACAAUUCAAAGUGCCCUAAGCAAAAUGAUCCAAUCAACUUGACCAACGAACCAAGCUACCCCAGGGAUAACAGCGCAAUCCCGUCACAGAGUCCCUAUCGACGACGGAGUUUACGACCUCGAUGUUGGAUCAGGACAUCCUAAUGGUGCAACAGCUAUUAAGGGUUCGUUUGUUCAACGAUUAAAGUCCUACGUGAUCUGAGUUCAGACCGGAGUAAUCCAGGUCGGUUUCUAUCUAUAACCAAAUCUUUUCCAGUACGAAAGGACCGAAAAGAUGAGGCCAAUACUUUAAGCCAAGCCUUAAACUUACAUUAGUGAACACAACUAAACUAAUAAUAAGAAUACUACCCACAGCCCAAGACACAGGGCUA
RNAcentral lists this ribosomal RNA (1595 nucleotides) under Chitra vandijki. Its description in RNAcentral is "16S ribosomal RNA". It matches the Rfam family "Bacterial large subunit ribosomal RNA". Lineage: Eukaryota; Metazoa; Chordata; Testudines; Trionychidae. The record is from RNAcentral.